Molecule: ribosomal RNA, 310 nt
Filed under: uncultured bacterium
Lineage: Bacteria
Description: partial 16S ribosomal RNA
Rfam family: Bacterial small subunit ribosomal RNA
Source: RNAcentral
AAGAGACAGCAGCCGCCGCGGUAAUACAGAGGGUGCGAGCGUUAAUCGGAUUUACUGGGCGUAAAGCGUGCAUAGGCGGCUUUUUAAGUCGGAUGUGAAAUCCCUAAGCUUAACUUAGGAAUUGCAUUCGAUACUGGGAAGCUAGAGUAUGGGAGAGGAUGGUAGAAUUCCAGGUGUAGCGGUGAAAUGCGUAGAGAUCUGGAGGAAUACCGAUGGCGAAGGCAGCCAUCUGGCCUAAUACUGACGCUGAGGUACGAAAGCAUGGGGAGCAAACAGGAUUAGAUACCCCGGUAGUCCCUGUCUCUUAUAC